Molecule: long non-coding RNA, 1084 nt
Filed under: Nicotiana tabacum (common tobacco)
Lineage: Eukaryota; Viridiplantae; Streptophyta; Magnoliopsida; Solanales; Solanaceae
Description: long non-coding RNA (NTAB_LNC018793)
Source: RNAcentral
UCAGUAUUUUCCAUAAUGUUGUGGUAGAUAAAAGGGCAACACUGAUUAGUAGACUCACGAAAGAAAACAGAUAGUUAUUGGGAAAAAGAACUAUCAGCCAUGAGUAAAUUCUACUUUCCCAUAGGUAAAAGUAAUUCCUAAAGAGUGUAUCUCCACAAAGAUGUUCUUAUGAACAAAUGAAUAGCAAGAAAUCUCUUUAAAUGCUUUCAAACUAAAAUUGCACAUAAGACCAUGAUUACACAAAGAGCUGCAGACCAAAAAUAAAAGCAAAGGCUGACCCCUACACUUUCAGCUAAAAUAUCACAAGAAAAUAGCAGUUAUACAAUAAAAGCCUAGUUAUACACUUACUCAAGAGGAUCUUUGACCACUUUCUCCUUUGACUCUUCAGGAACAGUGGGGCUUGAAACCUCCUACAGAAAAAGGAACAAAAAUUGAGCAAGAAAAAAAGAGAGCAACUUAGGUUAAGCCGUAAGAAAAUGAAGGAGGCAGUAAGGUAAGGGAGAGGGACCUGAUGUUGUGGAGGGGGAGGAGAGUGAGCAGCGGAGGAUAUAGGGGAGUUUGUAACUGAAUUUGAAGCUGAAGUUGCCAUUUAUCCAAUGACAGUAUCUUCUUGCAAAUCUUGACUGGGCCAAUUUUCAAACCGUAGCUAUGGUUGAAUCCCGCAGUGGUUAAUUGAUAUUUACUGGCAUUCGGCGUCAGUUACAAGAAACGUUGAUUAACGAACCUACCACUUCGGAGUUGAUGAUAUAUACGGCCUAAUUGAAUUUGAACAUGAAAAGAAGGGUAAUGGGAGGUAAGGAUCAGGCACUGUAAGCAUUAAAUAGAGCUUUGAGUUGUUGGAUUCAGACUUGUAAAGCUAAUAACAAGUAGUAUAUAGGGGAAAACAAGUGAAAUAAAUUGAAGAGGAAAGCAUGCAGAGCGAAAGAGAGAGAAUUUGAUAUAAAGUAGAACAGAGGGGAUAAUCCGCAUGUAUUAGCGGAGAGAACGAGCCGCUACUGAAAGUAGAGAGAAACAGGUGAAAGGUAAAGGGAAGUAAUGAUUCAGGGGGCGGAACUAGUAAGUAGUAAUACUAACUGGGUUUAAC